ACCCGAACGGAUUACCCGAAUGCUCAGCCCGCCAAAGCGAAUCAACUCUCUCUGCUGCUUCAACGCCGCCGAUGACUAAGAGGAGAAUCCGCCGUGUUAAUCUGUGCGAAUCCGUUGAGUGAGAGCAGAAUCCACAACCGCCGGUUGCAUCUUCUCCAACGCCGGUUGGAGCAUCGAAAUCGGAGAGAUUUCGUUCAAUGAAACUCUAAUAUCAUUCUCAUGAUGAUGUUGGAAGGGACCGUGGGUUUAUAAAGGGUUCUGGAGGACAAGAAAAGGGAUGCCUGCCACUCUUAAUCAGCUCCUUGUUUCUUUAGAUGGUUUUGAAGGAAGGGCCAUCGCCUCCACAAACAGACCAGACAUUCUAUAACCUGCGCUUGCACUGCAGUAUCGGAGAGAUGAAGCAAAGACCUCUCGUAGUAAGUCAAGUUCUCCUCUGUUUCUAUCUCACACUCCCCUAUUGAUGCUUUACGGUUUGGUGAAUGAGCUGAAAAAUCAAUGAUGGAGAACCCCUUCGAGAAAAGAAGCUUGAUGUACGCCAGGAAGUGGGUUCGUUUCUUAGAUCUUAUGUUGUGCCUGAAGGCUUUCCCGGGAGUUUUAAUGAGUCUUAUGUUCCUUAUACGACUUGGAGAGCUUUGAAACAUUUCUUUGGUUAAGCUAUGGGUGUUGUUUACUACUCAAACUCUUCUUAAUUCUGUUGGAGCUUCAAGAAACAGUUCUGCUUCUGCUGCUGUUGCCAUCAAUUGGAUCCUCAAGGAUGGUGCUGGGCGUGUUACUUUCUUUGAAGAUAAUAUGAUCAAAGAGCUCUACUUUGCAAACGUUAUUUCAUUUCGUAUGGGUUAUGGUGCAUGUGCAUUUUGCUUAUGACUUCUUUUUUCCUGGCAAUACCUUAUUGUUUUUCCUUAGCAAUUUGUUAAUUUGAGCAUUAAAGUUCGCUUCUGUGCAGCACAUCAAAAAGAGAUAUCAGAUCUGGAGGGAGAGCUAUCAUCUACCAGAAAUCUUCUCUCCACUCAGGCCACUUUAAUUCAUGGCUUAGCAGAUGGAGUUAAGAUUGACGAUGAUAAAGUUUCCGAUGAAUCUCUUGCAAAUGGUUUAUUGAAUUUUGAGGACAACGACCUCUCUGAUCUGUAGAAAUGGGCUGCGGAAUUUCCUGACCACCUUGAUGCUUUAUUAGCUGAAAGAAGGGUAGACGAAGCUCUGGCAGCUUUUGAUGAGGGAGAAAUUUUGGUAUCUCAAGCAAACGAAAAGCAAACUUUGGGCCCUUCUGUACUUUCAACUAGAGGCGGAGAACUUCGGUCAGCAAUAGCAGCUCUUAAAAGGCUUGGGGAUGGUCCUCGAGCCCAUACUGUGCUUCUUGAUGCCCAUUUCCAGAGAUAUUAGUACAACAUGCAAAGUCUUCGUCCAUCUAGCACCUCAUAUGGAGGGGCGUACACUGCUGAACUUUCUCAGCUAUCUCUCAAGCUUCUAGUGACUCGUUGGGAAUCUUUGGGAAAGAGCCAGCAUAUAGUUCUGAGCUCGUGACAUGGGCUACCAAGCAGACAGAGACGUUUUCCCUUCAUGUUAAAAGGCAUGCAUUAGCUUCUUCUGCAGCAGCGGGAGGGCUAAGAGCUGCCGCAGAAUGUGCACAGAUAGCUCUUGGGCAUUGUUCCUUGUUGGAAGCGCGUGGUUAGUCUCUCUCUACUAGAUCGUCUCUACUAGCUAGCUAAAUCUCUCCUUCCUCCUUAAUCCUUCAAGUUCCGGCCAAUAAUCAUCAAAUCUUAGAAGCAGACAAAGCUCUCCAAGCCUCCGAGUUCUUGCCAGAUAGGAUCCACCACAGAGUUUGACCAUGUCCUCUGUUUCCAAGUUGUUUACAACAUUGAAUUUGGCUUCUUCUGCCAACUCCUCUAGUGCAAGCCGUUCCCUGCAUAGCACUUUCAACCUGGCGGCUCUAGUCUCACUUUCAAUUCUAGCUUUCUCUUCACGUUGUCUUGUUUCUAAAAGUUGCUUUGCUGAAUACCUGAAACGGAUUGCUCUGAA
This is a long non-coding RNA of Camelina sativa (false flax), 2013 nucleotides long. RefSeq lists it as uncharacterized. The record is from RefSeq and is a predicted model, not a curated record. NCBI's taxonomy places the organism in Eukaryota, Viridiplantae, Streptophyta, Magnoliopsida, Brassicales, Brassicaceae.